RNAcentral lists this long non-coding RNA (663 nucleotides) under Brassica napus (rape). Its description in RNAcentral is "long non-coding RNA (BNAP_LNC023742)". The record is from RNAcentral. Lineage: Eukaryota; Viridiplantae; Streptophyta; Magnoliopsida; Brassicales; Brassicaceae.
AUUUUUUUAUAUCAAUCAAUUAUGAACUUGUAAAUUAUAACUGCAAACGGCAAUGCAGUUUGGAUUUAUAUGAAAACUUAAAAUGUGUUUUUAUUUUCUAAGAAACUUGUUCUACAAACGCAACUAAAAAAGUUAUCGUUUGGAAACAAAAUGUAUCUUUUUGAACGUCACAACCAACGUAAAAACAUAGAAACAUGUAUUAAUUAGAAAUCAUUUUCUACCUCAUGAAUAGCCAGCCUCCUCUGUGAAGUUUACGAAUCUUUUGUCCAUUAUCUUUCUUUAUUGUAAGAUUAAUAUAUUAUUACGAAUAGAUAUAAAUAGAUAUUGUAUUUUGAACAUAUAAUCAAACAAGUAAUAAAAUGGGAAUAUGCUCAACAAAGAGCAUGUCCACAUCAAUAGAUUAAUUCGAGCUAAUCAGAUUCUACAAAUAUGCCAUGUCAGCACGAUUUUAAAAACUUUCGAAACUUUAGAAAAUCGUUUAUUUCCAGCCCAUUAUAUUAUAGAUUCGGUGGGCCAUUUGUAACCCAUAUUAUACGUUUUGUUUAAAGUGGCCAAGACCCAAGUUUAUUAAACCCCUAUUCUGACCCAAAUAAGCUUCUAAGUCGCCUAAUCGUCAUAUUCAUCUUGCAUCUAGGGUUUCUGCACUGUAGCAACUCAUCUCGC